Molecule: ribosomal RNA, 516 nt
Filed under: uncultured bacterium
Lineage: Bacteria
Description: bacterial SSU rRNA
Rfam family: Bacterial small subunit ribosomal RNA
Source: RNAcentral
GAUGAACGCUAGCGGCAGGCCUAACACAUGCAAGUCGAGGGGCAUCGCGGUGCAGCAAUGCACUGGCGGCGACCGGCGUACGGGUGCGUAACGCGUAUGCAACCUGCCCCGCACCGGGGGAUAGCCCGCCGAAAGGCGGAUUAAUACCCCAUGGUCCCGGGGGCCCGCAUGGGCAUCCGGGUAAAGCCUUGGCGGUGCGGGAUGGGCAUGCGUGCCAUUAGCUGGCUGGUGGGGUAACGGCCCACCAGGGCAACGAUGGCUAGGGGGUCUGAGAGGAUGGUCCCCCACACUGGUACUGAGACACGGACCAGACUCCUACGGGAGGCAGCAGUGAGGAAUAUUGGUCAAUGGGCGGAAGCCUGAACCAGCCAUGCCGCGUGCGGGAUGAAGGCCCUACGGGUUGUAAACCGCUUUUCCCGGGAAGAACUAACCCCGAUGAGUCGGGGGAUGGCCGGUACCGGGGGAAUAAGGAUCGGCUAACGUCCGUGCCAGCAGCCAACGGUAAAAUCACGUGUA